GACGAACGCUGGCGGCGUGCUUAACACAUGCAAGUCGAACGUGAUUUUUAAGGAAAGCCCUUCGGGGUGGGAAUUAAAAUGAAAGUGGCGAACGGGUGAGUAACACGUGAGCAACCUACCUUACACAGGGGGAUAGCCGUUGGAAACGACGAUUAAUACCGCAUGAGACCACAGAAUCGCAUGAUAUAGGGGUCAAAGAUUUAUCGGUGUAAGAAGGGCUCGCGUCUGAUUAGCUAGUUGGAAGGGUAAAGGCCUACCAAGGCGACGAUCAGUAGCCGGUCUGAGAGGAUGAACGGCCACAUUGGAACUGAGACACGGUCCAAACUCCUACGGGAGGCAGCAGUGGGGAAUAUUGCACAAUGGGGGGAACCCUGAUGCAGCGACGCCGCGUGAGCGAAGAAGGUUUUCGAAUCGUAAAGCUCUGUCCUANGAGAAGAUAANGA
RNAcentral lists this ribosomal RNA (443 nucleotides) under uncultured bacterium. RNAcentral describes it as "bacterial SSU rRNA". It matches the Rfam family "Bacterial small subunit ribosomal RNA", at positions 28 to 454 of the family's 1533-position model. The record is from RNAcentral.